RNAcentral lists this non-coding RNA (30 nucleotides) under Mus musculus (house mouse). Lineage: Eukaryota; Metazoa; Chordata; Mammalia; Rodentia; Muridae. The record is from RNAcentral.
CAAAAAGACAAGGAGCAUGUGUUUCAUCUC